AAUGAACGCUGGCGGCAUGCCUUACACAUGCAAGUCGAACGGCAGCAUGACCUAGCUUGCUAGGUUGAUGGCGAGUGGCGCACGGGUGAGUAAUGCAUCGGAACGUGCCUUUUAGUGGGGGAUAACGUAGCGAAAGUUACGCUAAUACCGCAUAUCCUCUGAGGAGGAAAGCAGGGGGCCUUCGGGCCUUGCGCUAGAAGAGCGGCCGAUGUCGGAUUAGCUAGUUGGUGAGGUAAAGGCUCACCAAGGCAACGAUCCGUAGCGGGUCUGAGAGGAUGAUCCGCCACACUGGGACUGAGACACGGCCCAGACUCCUACGGGAGGCAGCAGUGGGGAAUUUUGGACAAUGGGCGCAAGCCUGAUCCAGCCAUGCCGCGUGAGUGAAGAAGGCCUUCGGGUUGUAAAGCUCUUUCGGCUGGGAAGAAAUCGCACUCUCUAAUACAGGGUGUGGAUGACGGUACCAGCAUAAGAAGCACCGGCUAACUACGUG
Molecule: ribosomal RNA, 490 nt
Filed under: uncultured bacterium
Lineage: Bacteria
Description: partial 16S ribosomal RNA
Rfam family: Bacterial small subunit ribosomal RNA
Source: RNAcentral